RNAcentral lists this ribosomal RNA (826 nucleotides) under uncultured Alphaproteobacteria bacterium. RNAcentral describes it as "bacterial SSU rRNA". It matches the Rfam family "Bacterial small subunit ribosomal RNA", at positions 9 to 880 of the family's 1533-position model. The record is from RNAcentral. Lineage: Bacteria; Pseudomonadati; Pseudomonadota; Alphaproteobacteria.
GAGUUUGAUCAUGGCUCAGAACGAACGCUGGCGGCAGGCUUAACACAUGCAAGUCGAACGCUCAUCUUCGGAUGGGAGUGGCAGACGGGUGAGUAACGCGUGGGAACCUACCUAAUAGUACGGAAUAGCCCUGGGAAACUGGGAAUAAUACCGUAUACGCCCUUCGGGGGAAAGAUUUAUCGCUAUUAGAUGGGCCCGCGUUGGAUUAGCUAGUUGGUGAGGUAAUGGCUCACCAAGGCGACGAUCUAUAGCUGGUCUGAGAGGAUGAUCAGCCACACUGGAACUGAGACACGGUCCAGACUCCUACGGGAGGCAGCAGUGGGGAAUAUUGGACAAUGGGCGCAAGCCUGAUCCAGCCAUGCCGCGUGAGUGAUGAAGGCCUUAGGGUUGUAAAGCUCUUUCAAUGGUGAUGAUAAUGACAGUAGCCAUAGAAGAAGCCCCGGCUAACUUCGUGCCAGCAGCCGCGGUAAUACGAAGGGGGCUAGCGUUGUUCGGAUUUACUGGGCGUAAAGCGCACGUAGGCGGAUUGAUUAGUUAGGGGUGAAAUCCCGAGGCUCAACCUCGGAACUGCCUCUAAAACUGUCAAUCUCGAGACCGGAAGAGGUGAGUGGAACUCCUAGUGUAGAGGUGGAAUUCGUAGAUAUUAGGAAGAACACCAGUGGCGAAGGCGGCUCACUGGUCCGGUACUGACGCUGAGGUGCGAAAGCGUGGGGAGCGAACAGGAUUAGAUACCCUGGUAGUCCACGCCGUAAACGAUGAGAGCUAGUCGUUGGGAAAUUUAUUUCUGAGUGACGCAGCUAACGCAUUAAGCUCUCCGCCUGGGGAG